GCUGGGGUAGCUCAGUCGGUGCAGCGCGAGUCUCUUAACUUCGGGGUCACGGGUUCGAAUCCCGUGUCGGACA
Podarcis lilfordi (Lilford's wall lizard) is the source of this 73-nucleotide non-coding RNA. The record is from the annotation of a GenBank genome assembly. Lineage: Eukaryota; Metazoa; Chordata; Lepidosauria; Squamata; Lacertidae.